GACGAACGCUGGCGGCGUGCUUAACACAUGCAGGUCGAACGGUGAAGCGCCUUCCUUUUUGGUGGGUGUGGAUGAGUGGCGAACGGGUGAGUAACACGUGAGUAACUUGCCCCCUUCUUCUGGAUAACCGCAUGAAAGUGUGGCUAAUACGGGAUAUUCUGGGUCUGUCGCAUGAUGGGUCUGGGAAAGAUAUUGUUUCGGUGGGGGAUGGGCUCGCGGCCUAUCAGCUUGUUGGUGGGGUGAUGGCCUACCAAGGCGGUGACGGGUAGCCGGCCUGAGAGGGUGGACGGUCACACUGGGACUGAGACACGGCCCAGACUCCUACGGGAGGCAGCAGUGGGGAAUAUUGCACAAUGGGCGCAAGCCUGAUGCAGCGACGCCGCGUGAGGGAUGGAGGCCUUCGGGUUGUGAACCUCUUUCGCCAGUGAAGCAGGCCUGCCUCGUUUGUGGGUGGGUUGACGGUAGCUGGAUAAGAAGCGCCGGCUAACUACGUG
RNAcentral lists this ribosomal RNA (494 nucleotides) under uncultured bacterium. Its description in RNAcentral is "partial 16S ribosomal RNA". It matches the Rfam family "Bacterial small subunit ribosomal RNA", at positions 28 to 507 of the family's 1533-position model. The record is from RNAcentral.